AUUGAACGCUGGCGGCAGGCUUAACACAUGCAAGUCGAGCGGUAACAGAGAGUAGCUUGCUACUUUGCUGACGAGCGGCGGACGGGUGAGUAACGCGUAGAAAUCUGCCUGGUAGUGGGGGAUAGCCCAGAGAAAUUUGGAUUAAUACCGCAUACGCCCUACGGGGGAAAGCAGGGGACCUUCGGGCCUUGCGCUAUCAGAUGAGUCUGCGUCGGAUUAGCUUGUUGGUGAGGUAAUGGCUCACCAAGGCGACGAUCCGUAGCUGGUCUGAGAGGAUGAUCAGCCACACUGGGACUGAGACACGGCCCAGACUCCUACGGGAGGCAGCAGUGGGGAAUAUUGCACAAUGGGCGAAAGCCUGAUGCAGCCAUGCCGCGUGUGUGAAGAAGGCCUUAGGGUUGUAAAGCACUUUCAGCAGUGAGGAAAGGUUGUAGUUUAAUACGCUAUAGCUGUGACGUUAACUGCAGAAGAAGGACCGGCUAACUCCGUGCCAGCAGCCGCGGUAAUACGGAGGGUCCGAGCGUUAAUCGGAAUUACUGGGCGUAAAGCGCGCGUAGGCGGUUUGUUAAGUCAGAUGUGAAAGCCCCGGGCUCAACCUGGGAACUGCACCUGAUACUGGCAAACUAGAGUACAGAAGAGGGUGGUGGAAUUUCCUGUGUAGCGGUGAAAUGCGUAGAUAUAGGAAGGAACAUCAGUGGCGAAGGCGACCACCUGGUCUGAUACUGAC
Molecule: ribosomal RNA, 727 nt
Filed under: Amphritea sp.
Lineage: Bacteria; Pseudomonadati; Pseudomonadota; Gammaproteobacteria; Oceanospirillales; Oceanospirillaceae
Description: bacterial SSU rRNA
Rfam family: Bacterial small subunit ribosomal RNA
Source: RNAcentral